RNAcentral lists this ribosomal RNA (1358 nucleotides) under uncultured bacterium. Its description in RNAcentral is "bacterial SSU rRNA". It matches the Rfam family "Bacterial small subunit ribosomal RNA", at positions 28 to 1381 of the family's 1533-position model. The record is from RNAcentral.
GAUGAACGCUAGCUACAGGCUUAACACAUGCAAGUCGAGGGGCAGCAUGGUCUUAGCUUGCUAAGGCCGAUGGCGACCGGCGCACGGGUGAGUAACACGUAUCCAACCUGCCGUCUACUCUUGGACAGCCUUCUGAAAGGAAGAUUAAUACAAGAUGGCAUCAUGAGUCCACAUGUUCACAUGAUUAAAGGUAUUCCGGUAGACGAUGGGGAUGCGUUCCAUUAGAUAGUAGGCGGGGUAAUGGCCCACCUAGUCUUCGAUGGAUAGGGGUUCUGAGAGGAAGGUCCCCCACAUUGGAACUGAGACACGGUCCAAACUCCUACGGGAGGCAGCAGUGAGGAAUAUUGGUCAAUGGGCGAGAGCCUGAACCAGCCAAGUAGCGUGAAGGAUGACUGCCCUAUGGGUUGUAAACUUCUUUUAUAAAGGAAUAAAGUCGGGUAUGCAUACCCGUUUGCAUGUACUUUAUGAAUAAGGAUCGGCUAACUCCGUGCCAGCAGCCGCGGUAAUACGGAGGAUCCGAGCGUUAUCCGGAUUUAUUGGGUUUAAAGGGAGCGUAGAUGGAUGUUUAAGUCAGUUGUGAAAGUUUGCGGCUCAACCGUAAAAUUGCAGUUGAUACUGGAUAUCUUGAGUGCAGUUGAGGCAGGCGGAAUUCGUGGUGUAGCGGUGAAAUGCUUAGAUAUCACGAAGAACUCCGAUUGCGAAGGCAGCCUGCUAAGCUGCAACUGACAUUGAGGCUCGAAAGUGUGGGUAUCAAACAGGAUUAGAUACCCUGGUAGUCCACACGGUAAACGAUGAAUACUCGCUGUUUGCGAUAUACAGCAAGCGGCCAAGCGAAAGCGUUAAGUAUUCCACCUGGGGAGUACGCCGGCAACGGUGAAACUCAAAGGAAUUGACGGGGGCCCGCACAAGCGGAGGAACAUGUGGUUUAAUUCGAUGAUACGCGAGGAACCUUACCCGGGCUUAAAUUGCAGAUGAAUUACGGUGAAAGCCGUAAGCCGCAAGGCAUCUGUGAAGGUGCUGCAUGGUUGUCGUCAGCUCGUGCCGUGAGGUGUCGGCUUAAGUGCCAUAACGAGCGCAACCCUUGUUGUCAGUUACUAACAGGUUCCGCUGAGGACUCUGACAAGACUGCCAUCGUAAGAUGUGAGGAAGGUGGGGAUGACGUCAAAUCAGCACGGCCCUUACGUCCGGGGCUACACACGUGUUACAAUGGGGGGUACAGAGGGCCGCUACCACGCGAGUGGAUGCCAAUCCCCAAAACCUCUCUCAGUUCGGACUGGAGUCUGCUACCCGACUCCACGAAGCUGGAUUCGCUAGUAAUCGCGCAUCAGCCACGGCGCGGUGAAUACGUUCCCGGGCCU